GGCUCAGGAUGAACGCUAGCGGCAGGCCUAACACAUGCAAGUCAGGGGCAGCACGGUGUAGCAAUACACUGGUGGCGACCGGCGCACGGGUGCGUAACGCGUAUGCAACCUACCCAUAACAGGGGGAUAACACUGAGAAAUUGGUACUAAUACCCCAUAACAUCAGGACCGGCAUCGGUUCUGGUUGAAAACUCCGGUGGUUAUGGAUGGGCAUGCGUUGUAUUAGCUGGUUGGUGAGGUAACGGCUCACCAAGGCAACGAUACAUAGGGGGACUGAGAGGUUAACCCCCCACAUUGGUACUGAGACACGGACCAAACUCCUACGGGAGGCAGCAGUGAGGAAUAUUGGUCAAUGGACGCAAGUCUGAACCAGCCAUGCCGCGUGCAGGAAGACGGCUCUAUGAGUUGUAAACUGCUUUUGUACGAGGGUAAACGCUCUUACGUGUAAGAGCCUGAAAGUAUCGUACGAAUAAGGAUCGGCUAACUCCGUG
Molecule: ribosomal RNA, 491 nt
Filed under: uncultured bacterium
Lineage: Bacteria
Description: bacterial SSU rRNA
Rfam family: Bacterial small subunit ribosomal RNA
Source: RNAcentral